UACGUAGGGGGCAAGCGUUGUCCGGAAUCACUGGGCGUAAAGGGCGCGUAGGCGGGGAGGUAAGUCGGGUGUGAAAUCCCUCGGCCCAACCGAGGAACUGCGCCCGAGACUGCUUCUCUUGAGUCCCGGAGAGGAAGGUGGAAUUCCCGGUGUAGCGGUGAAAUGUGUAGAGAUCGGGAGGAACACCGGUGGCGAAGGCGGCCUUCUGGACGGUGACUGACGCUGAGGCGCGAAAGCGUGGGGAGCAAACGGG
Molecule: ribosomal RNA, 253 nt
Filed under: uncultured bacterium
Lineage: Bacteria
Description: partial 16S ribosomal RNA
Rfam family: Bacterial small subunit ribosomal RNA
Source: RNAcentral